ACGGGAGGCAGCAGUGGGGAAUAUUGCACAAUGGGGGAAACCCUGAUGCAGCGACGCCGCGUGAGUGAUGAAGUAUUUCGGUACGUAAAACUCUAUCAGCAGGGAAGAUAAUGACGGUACCUGACUAAGAAGCCCCGGCUAACUACGUGCCAGCAGCCGCGGUAAUACGUAGGGGGCAAGCGUUAUCCGGAUUUACUGGGUGUAAAGGGAGUGUAGGUGGCCUGGCAAGCCAGAUGUGAAAGCCAGCAGCUCAACUGCGAGACUGCAUUUGGAACUGUUAGGCUUGAGUGCAGGAGAGGAAAGUGGAAUUCCUAGUGUAGCGGUGAAAUGCGUAGAUAUUAGGAGGAACACCAGUGGCGAAGGCGGCUUGCUGGACUGUAACUGACACUGAGGCGCGAAAGCGUGGGGAGCAAACAGGAUUAGAUACCCUGGUA
Molecule: ribosomal RNA, 434 nt
Filed under: uncultured Anaerosporobacter sp.
Lineage: Bacteria; Bacillati; Bacillota; Clostridia; Lachnospirales; Lachnospiraceae
Description: partial 16S ribosomal RNA
Rfam family: Bacterial small subunit ribosomal RNA
Source: RNAcentral